This is a non-coding RNA of Pelobates cultripes (western spadefoot toad), 675 nucleotides long. Lineage: Eukaryota; Metazoa; Chordata; Amphibia; Anura; Pelobatidae. The record is from the annotation of a GenBank genome assembly.
AUUGAACAUGUAGCUGUGUGUAUAGCUCCAGACAAACAGGCUGGAGCCGUGUAAGUAAUCUAUUAUAACAGCUAGCAACUGUUAUAGCCUUUUGUAAGUAAUGUUGUAGUUUUGUAUUGUGUAAUUAUUGUGGUAAAUUGACAUUCUGCUAGCAUUUGUUUAAUUGUUAUUAUAAUUAUAUUAAAUAUACAUUUAAUACUACGUUUUGUGUAUUUCCUAUUAUAUAUUCGACCAUAAUACCGAACUCUAUUAAUGUUGUUAUUUGUUGCUUAAUUAUUAUAUAUUAAUUAUCAAAUUAAUAUUCAUAUUUAAGUCACGACUGUAACACAGCACCAGACUACUCUAAACAAUUUCUUUUCCACACAGAUGCCUCCAUGUUUGGGCUGGGAGCCGUGUUAAGCCAGGUGGGAGACGACGGCAUGGAACACACGGUGGCCUAUCUAAGUCGUAAACUGUUUCCCCGGGAAGUCAGCUAUGCCACCGUGGAGAAGGAGUGCCUAGCCCUGGUGUGGGCCCUUAAGAAACUCCAACCUUAUUUGUACGGCCGGCCGUUUACUCUGAUGACCGACCACAACCCAUUGGUGUGGUUAAACCGGGUGGCUGGCGACAACCCUAGACUUUUACGGUGGAGCCUAGCCCUUCAACCGUACAACUUCACUAUGCAAUAUCGUCCGG